Loxodonta africana (African savanna elephant) is the source of this 3933-nucleotide long non-coding RNA. RefSeq lists it as uncharacterized. NCBI's taxonomy places the organism in Eukaryota, Metazoa, Chordata, Mammalia, Proboscidea, Elephantidae. The record is from RefSeq and is a predicted model, not a curated record. The transcript has 3 exons.
ACGGUGCGGGGGUGGGGUGCCAGCCCUCGCUAGGUGCGGUGAGCCCUAGGGGAACCCGGAUUAGGGUGGGGGUCCCAGCUCUGCCAGGGGCCCCAGCUGCCUCCUCUGAACCGUGGGGCUGGUUUCCUUCCCUGAUCUGGACUUCGGGGGCUCUGGAGGCCCCCUGCGCCAGUCUCCCCCUAGCCUGUGUGUGUGGCAGCAGUGAAUCUGGAAUUCUAGACUGGACAGUGGAGCCCAGGGGUGUCAGUGCUCUGCCUGCGGACUGCGUGACCUUGGGCCGACCUUGCACUUCUGACCCUCAGUGCCCCCACCUACAACGUGAAGGCUUAAAAUGAGCCAUCUCAGAGGUGGAAAGAGGGAACCCCAGUACCACCAAGAGAGAAGACCUGGAGUGGAGCUUGUCCUUUGAACCUGGGAUCCCUGUGCUGAGAACCUCCUAGACCCAGGAGACAGAGCUGUAACACCAGAGAUGCAGGCCAGAGGCCAGGCUGGCCCAAGAUGGCUGAGCGGCAGAGGGUUCGAGAUGUCAAGGGCCAGAGAGAGGCCUGCCUGCAGGCAUGGCUGAGAAGAGGCUGUCCUGAUGGAAGAACUAUAUCCUGAACUGUAACCUGUUACUUCCCUAAUAAACCCCAUAAUUGUGAGUAUUGUCUGUGAGUUCUGUGUGGCCACUGCCACGGAUUAUGGAACCCAGCAGAGAAGUAGAGGGUGCUGUGGGAGAGAGGGAUGGCUGGUGUCAGAAUUGGUAAAAUGAUUGAAGAAUGGAGGCAUGUCUGACCUCCACCUCGUAGGAAUCAGCUUUGGGCUGUUGAUGCUGAUAAUGGUUCUCUGUCCCCCUCAUGAAGUUAGAGGAGGAGGUCAGGGCUGCUGCCAUGCCAUUUUUACAUCUCUAACAUGCCAUUUUUAAACCAACCAUCCUGGUUGCCCUGGGACUGAGGGGUUUCCGAGGACAUGGGACUUUCGUUGCUAAAAAGGAGAGUCACCCUAACUUCAGGCCACACACCUCGCAAGUGACAGUGUCUGUGUUCAAACUCUGGCUGGAAGCAGACUGUCACAUCUUUCUCCUGCGGAGCCGUUGGUGGGUUUGAACUGCUGACCUUUCAGAUAGCAGCCAAGGGCUUAACCACUGUACCACUGGGGUGCCUUUCGUAAAGAUUACAGUGUAAAAAAUCCAAUGGGGCAGCUCUACUUUGUCACAUGGGGUCGCUGUGAUUCAAAAUCAACAUCAUGGUACCUACCAACAAGUAAACUUGAUUCUAUCAAGUACUUUUCUCUGUGAGAGUCAUUAUCCUCAACACUUCCUAUGCAUUCAAGCCCAGGGAAGUUGAUGCCACUUUUGAGGUGAAGAUUGGAGAUUCAGAGAGGUUAAGUGACCUGUCCGAGGUGACACAGACAGUAAGGGGCAGGGCCAGCGCUUGUGGCGUUCUGAAGUCUUUCUUCUAGAGCUUAACCCCACUGAUGGCAGUUGGUGGUUGUAUGGGACACAGGCCCAGGGUGGGAGGGAUUGCUGAGAGCCCACAGGCGCCAGGAGCCCUGUCUCUCCGUCAGACGAGCUGGCCUGCUUCUUGCCAGUAGUGGUAGGACAGGUUGUAAGGACAAGCCCUUUGCCCAGGCUGGGCUGCCCCCCUCCCCCGCCACAGUGGGCAGGCUGCCCGAAUCCUCUGCAGCUGCUGUUCCCUCUCAGUCAGCCAAGCCUGGAGCAGUCCGGGACAUUGUGUCCAAAGACAGGGCCAGGCAGGCCCCAUCCCCCUACCCAGUGACCUCCCACCCUGCCCCUCUGGGCCUCAGGCCAGCCUGGCCUGUCCCUGGGCCUGGUACGAGCUGGAGGCCAGGACAGUGUCUCUGCUCUUCCUGGCUCACUGUAGCCCCUGGCUUAGAGGGGUGGCCGCCAAGUCUUCAAGGGGUAGGCUCCCCAGAGUCCCCCUCAGGAGGGGCCAGCUGGGCUACCGGGACACCUGUUUCCCUGCCCUUGGCAUUUUUGCAUUGCGUGUCCCAAAAUGCCAGCUGAGCCAAGGUGAGAGGCUCCCUUGGGCAGAGAACCGACUAUGUAGGGGCCUGUGCCCAUGUGGGCUGGACGUAGCCUGGUCUCCCCACUUCAUGGAUGAGAAAGCUGAGGGUCAGAGAAAGGAGGAGAAGCAUGUGAAAGCACACAGCCGUGAGCUGAGACUCCACUGUGCCAAGCAGGAAGGGGCUGGGGGCAGGGACAGCUGGAAGGGGCAGUCUCAGAGGGGUCUCUCUGGGCUCCUUCAUACAUCUCAGGUCUCAGUUUACUGCUGCUUACUCAGAGAAGCCUUCCCUGACACCUCGUGUCUAGAGGAGAACUCCCCGUUCCCAAUACUGUAUUCUGUUCUGUGUCAUGUCAUCCUGGUCUGUUUCCUUGAGAUGUAUCUCUGCCUGGACUUUCUUGUUUAUUUGUCAUAUUUAUUGAUUAAAAGUGAGGACGGACAUGUUAUCAGGAAGGACCAGCCCCUGGAGAAGGACAUCAUGCUUCAUAAAGUAGAGGAUCAGUGAAAAAGAGGAAGACGCUCAACAAGAUGGAUUGACAUAGUGGCUGCAACAAUGGGCUUAAGUGUAGCAAGGGUUGUGAGGAUGGCGCAGGACCAGGCGGUGUUUUGCUCUGUUGUACACAGGGUUACUAUGAGUCGGAAUCAACUUGAUGGCACCUAACAACAAUUGAUUAUCUUGCCUGAUAGAACGUGGUCCCCAGAGGAGGGACUUUGUCUUGCUCCCAGCUGCCUCUCCAGUGCCAAGAACAGGGUCUGAUACCUAGUAACCAGUUGCUGUCGAGUUGACCCCGACUCGUGGUGACCCCAUGAGUAUCAGAGUAGAACUGUGCUCCACAGGGUUUUUAAUGGCCGAUUUUUCAAAAAAAAAGUAGAUCUCUGGGGGAGAUGAGAGGGCAGAGGGGGUUAGAAGCUGGAGGAAUGGACACGAAAAGAGAGAGUGGGGGGAAGGAGUGUGCUGUCUCAUUAGGGGGAGAGCAGCUAGGAGUAUACAGCAAGGUGUAUAUAAAUUUUUGUAUGAGAGACUGACUUGAUUUGUAAACUUUCACUUAAAGUAGAAUAAAAAUUAAAAAAAAAAAAAGAAAGGUAGAUCUCCAGGCCUUUCUGCCAAGGAGCCCCUGGGUGGACUUGAACCACCAAUCUUUUGAUUAGCAGUAGAGCACAUUAGCCAUCUGCAUCACCCAGGGACUCCAGCACAUAAUACCAAAAAAAAAAAGAAAAAAUCCCCAAAACCCCGAACUGGUUGCUGUUCAGUUGAUUCCGACUCGUAGUGACCCUAAGUGAGUGUGCAGCGUAGAACUGCCCGACAGGAUUUUCAAAGCUGUGACCUUCCAGAUCACCAGACCUUUCUUCCAAGGCACCUCUGGGUGGGUUCAAACCAACAACUUUUCUGUUAGUAGUCAAGGGCUUAGCCAUUUGUUCCACCUAGGGACACCCUAGCACAUAAUGGUGUUGUGUGCCAUCCAGUCAAUUGCGACUCAUAGUGACCCUAUUGGGCACAGUAGAACUGCCCCAUAGGGUUUUCUAGGCUGAACUUUUUUCCCCCAGGAGAAAGGGGUAUUUUUUAUUGUUCUUGCAACUUUUUUUUGUAAGUUUAAAAUUGUUUUUAAAAGAAAAAAGAACGUGUCCAAGAUUACCUAUCUAGUUAGAAGUAGGAUUCAAACGCAGCUUAGGAACAAGCUCUCCAUCCCUACUCUCUACUGGUUUAUAUUUUAUUUUUUAUUGUGCUUUAGGUGAAAGUUUAGAGCUCAAGUUAGUUUCUCAUACAAAAAUUUAUACACACAUUGUUAUGUGACCGUAGCUGCUCCCCCUAUAAUGUGACCACACGUUCCUCCUUUCCACCCCAGAUUUCCCUUGUCCGUUCAGCCAGCUCCUAUCCCUUUCUGCCGUCUCAUGUCGCCUCUGGACAGGAGCUGCCCAUUUAGUCUCGUGU